Prunus dulcis (almond) is the source of this 84-nucleotide small nucleolar RNA. RefSeq annotates it as small nucleolar RNA R160. The record is from RefSeq and is a predicted model, not a curated record. The transcript has a single exon. NCBI's taxonomy places the organism in Eukaryota, Viridiplantae, Streptophyta, Magnoliopsida, Rosales, Rosaceae.
AGCAAAAUGAUGAAACUAGAAUUUUUUAUAUAUCUGAAUUUGAUGUAGAACCUCAUAUCAUGCCUUCAAAGUUCUCUGAUUGCU